RNAcentral lists this transfer RNA (66 nucleotides) under Junonia cytora. RNAcentral's name for it is "tRNA-Asp". The record is from RNAcentral. RNAcentral also lists the same sequence under 1 other name. Lineage: Eukaryota; Metazoa; Arthropoda; Insecta; Lepidoptera; Nymphalidae.
AAAGAAUUAGUUAAUAAAUAACAUAAAUAUGUCAAAUUUAAAUUAUUACCAAAGUAAUAUUCUUUU